GAUGAACGCUGGCGGCGUGCCUAAUACAUGCAAGUCGAGCGAACAGAUGAGGAGCUUGCUCCUCUGACGUUAGCGGCGGACGGGUGAGUAACACGUGGAUAACCUACCUCUAAUACUGGGAUAACUUCGGGAAACCGGAGCUAAUACCGGAUAAUAUAUUGAACCGCAUGGUUCAAUAGUGAAAGACGGUUUUGCUGUCACUUAUAGAUGGAUCCGCGCCGCAUUAGCUAGUUGGUAAGGUAACGGCUUACCAAGGCUACGAUGCGUAGCCGACCUGAGAGGGUGAUCAGCCACACUGGAACUGAGACACGGUCCAGACUCCUACGGGAGGCAGCAGUAGGGAAUAUUCCGCAAUGGGCGGAAGCCUGACGGAGCAACGCCGCGUGAGUGAUGAAGGUCUUCGGAUCGUAAAACUCUGUUAUUAGGGAAGAACAAAUGUGUAAGUAACUAUGCACGUCUUGACGGUACCUAAUGAGAAAGCCACGGCUAACUACGUG
RNAcentral lists this ribosomal RNA (497 nucleotides) under uncultured bacterium. Its description in RNAcentral is "partial 16S ribosomal RNA". It matches the Rfam family "Bacterial small subunit ribosomal RNA", at positions 28 to 507 of the family's 1533-position model. The record is from RNAcentral.